GAUGAACGCUGGCGGCGUGCCUAAUACAUGCAAGUCGAGCGAACGGACGAGAAGCUUGCUUCUCUGAUGUUAGCGGCGGACGGGUGAGUAACACGUGGAUAACCUACCUAUAAGACUGGGAUAACUUCGGGAAACCGGAGCUAAUACCGGAUAAUAUUUUGAACCGCAUGGUUCAAAAGUGAAAGACGGUCUUGCUGUCACUUAUAGAUGGAUCCGCGCUGCAUUAGCUAGUUGGUAAGGUAACGGCUUACCAAGGCAACGAUGCAUAGCCGACCUGAGAGGGUGAUCGGCCACACUGGAACUGAGACACGGUCCAGACUCCUACGGAAGGCAGCAGUAGGGAAUCUUCCGCAAUGGGCGAAAGCCUGACGGAGCAACGCCGCGGGAGUGAUGAAGGUCUUCGGAUCGUAAAACUCUGUUAUUAGGGAAGAACAUAUGUGUAAGUAACUGUGCACAUCUUGACGGUACCUAAUCAGAAAGCCACGGCUAACUACGU
This 496-nucleotide ribosomal RNA is filed under the name uncultured bacterium. Its description in RNAcentral is "partial 16S ribosomal RNA". It matches the Rfam family "Bacterial small subunit ribosomal RNA", at positions 28 to 506 of the family's 1533-position model. The record is from RNAcentral.